CCUACGGGAGGCAGCAGUGGGGAAUUUUGGACAAUGGGCGCAAGCCUGAUCCAGCCAUGCCGCGUGCAGGAUGAAGGCCUUCGGGUUGUAAACUGCUUUUGUACGGAACGAAAAGUCUCUUUCUAAUAAAGAGGGAUCAUGACGGUACCGUAAGAAUAAGCACCGGCUAACUACGUGCCAGCAGCCGCGGUAAUACGUAGGGUGCGAGCGUUAAUCGGAAUUACUGGGCGUAAAGCGUGCGCAGGCGGUUAUAUAAGACAGUUGUGAAAUCCCCGGGCUCAACCUGGGAACUGCAUCUGUGACUGUAUAGCUAGAGUACGGUAGAGGGGGAUGGAAUUCCGCGUGUAGCAGUGAAAUGCGUAGAUAUGCGGAGGAACACCGAUGGCGAAGGCAAUCCCCUGGACCUGUACUGACGCUCAUGCACGAAAGCGUGGGGAGCAAACAGGAUUAGAUACCCUGGUAGUCCACGCCCUAAACGAUGUCAACUGGUUGUUGGGAAUUCACUUUCUCAGUAACGAAGCUAACGCGUGAAGUUGACCGCCUGGGGAGUACGGCCGCAAGGUUGAAACUUAAAUGAAUUGACGG
RNAcentral lists this ribosomal RNA (585 nucleotides) under uncultured bacterium. Its description in RNAcentral is "bacterial SSU rRNA". It matches the Rfam family "Bacterial small subunit ribosomal RNA", at positions 338 to 916 of the family's 1533-position model. The record is from RNAcentral.